UACGGAGGAGGCUAGCGUUGUACGUAAUUACUGGGCGUAAAGCGCACGUAGGCGGAUUGUUAAGUCGGGGGUGAAAUCCCGGGGCUCAACCCCAGAAUGGCCUCCGAUACUGGCAAUCUUGAGGUCGGGAGAGGUGAGUGGAAUGGCGAGUGUAGAGGUGAAAUUCGUAGAUAUUCGCCGGAACACCAGUGGCGAAGGCGGCUCACUGGCCCGAUACUGACGCUGAGGUGCGACAGCGUGGGGAGCAAACAGG
Molecule: ribosomal RNA, 253 nt
Filed under: uncultured bacterium
Lineage: Bacteria
Description: partial 16S ribosomal RNA
Rfam family: Bacterial small subunit ribosomal RNA
Source: RNAcentral